AACGAACGCUGGCGGCAGGCCUAACACAUGCAAGUCGAGCGAACCCUUCGGGGUUAGCGGCGGACGGGUUAGUAACGCGUGGGAAUAUACCCUUUGGUACGGAAUAGCCUCGGGAAACUGAGAGUAAUACCGUAUGUGCCCUUCGGGGGAAAGAUUUAUCGCCAAAGGAUUAGCCCGCGUUGGAUUAGGUAGUUGGUGGGGUAAUGGCCUACCAAGCCUACGAUCCAUAGCUGGUUUGAGAGGAUGAUCAGCAACACUGGGACUGAGACACGGCCCAGACUCCUACGGGAGGCAGCAGUGGGGAAUCUUAGACAACGGGCGCAAGCCUGAUCUAGCCAUGCCGCGUGGACGAUGAAGGCCUUAGGGUUGUAAAGCUCUUUCAGUGGGGAAGAUAAUGACUGUACCCACAGAAGAAGCCCCGGCUAACUCCGUGCCAGCAGCCGCGGUAAAGUACAGUGU
RNAcentral lists this ribosomal RNA (459 nucleotides) under uncultured bacterium. Its description in RNAcentral is "bacterial SSU rRNA". It matches the Rfam family "Bacterial small subunit ribosomal RNA", at positions 29 to 533 of the family's 1533-position model. The record is from RNAcentral.